AAUCUUUCUUUACUAUCUGACGUGAACCGACAAAUUUGAUCAUCUCGAAUGGUAGACCAGAGCUUAAACUGAAAAGCCCACUGAUCCACUGAUACAGCAUUUGUAGCUAAACAUAGACAACUUUUCCGGAUACGACUGGCUGCAGAAACGCCGACCAGAGACUUCCCAGCUCCACAAGGAAGUACAAUAAUGCCAGAUCUUG
This 202-nucleotide unclassified non-coding RNA is filed under the name Hevea brasiliensis (rubber tree). Lineage: Eukaryota; Viridiplantae; Streptophyta; Magnoliopsida; Malpighiales; Euphorbiaceae. The record is from RNAcentral.